Oxyura jamaicensis (ruddy duck) is the source of this 4643-nucleotide long non-coding RNA. RefSeq lists it as uncharacterized. The record is from RefSeq and is a predicted model, not a curated record. Lineage: Eukaryota; Metazoa; Chordata; Aves; Anseriformes; Anatidae. The transcript is spliced from 3 exons.
AGUGUGUGCAGCAUAGAGAUUCACAUUACUUACAAGUAUGCUUCAAAUAGCAACUCAGAAUUGCCUUGGAAACCAUUUCAGAGCCUGAAAUUGCUGAUGUGGGGUGGAUUAUUCUAGAGAAAAAGCGAAAAGAGAAGUUACAAUAUCUUAGAUAUUUGUGGAGUUUUCUCCUCGCUUCUCUGGGUAGCUGGGUGUGCUUGUCCUUCUGUCUGAACUAUUAGUGAUUUGUGGCCUGCAAGCUUUGCACUUAUAAAAGGUAGCAAAGGGAAAAUUCUCUCGGUACAGACAUGAGUGUUGCUGGCAGGGUAAGACUGAGGGUGCUGAAGGUUUUAGGCUUUCUUCUACGUGGUCUGCUGAUGGCACCACAAAAUUCAAAUGCAGAAAGCAACCUUGUCUCUCAAGAAGCAUAUGAGAGGGUUGUACAUCAUGAAUCUUACAAUUCUUCCAGUAAAGUGCAUCCCUGGAGUUGGGGUCAAGGUGUUUUUUUUUCUGCUCUUCUCACUAUCUUUGGUACUUGGUGAGUGUUGGCUGUGAAGGCUCUUGUGGAGUGUGAAUUUCUCUGAGCAGUACAAGAAAAGUAUAACAGAGACUUCUGCAUGGGCAAAAGGAGGGAGGGAGAAGAAAUGAAAAAUUUUAUAAAGAAACUUUGCAGAAAUAAAACAUUAUGCCUGGGUUCCUUGAUGAAAUCUGUGCAGAGUCCCCCAAAAUGGUAGAUGAUGAAGGGCCGAGAAGGCUUCCUAAGGAUGCCGGAUGCUGUUAUCAUGCAGCUUUGUGCCAGGCUCUCAGAGCCUCCUGGUGUGUAUACUAGCAAAGGGGCAGUGCUCGACAAUAUGAGACCAGCAAUGGGAAGAGGAUUCCCAUUCCAUCUCUGCCAGCCAGGCCUGAGGUGAUGCUGGCAACGAAUGGCACAACCGAAACCACUGGGGAGAAAACAUUUACCAUUAUUCUCUCCCGAGUGGUCUCGGGGAGACCCAAGACCACCCCUUUCACCUAUGAUACAGUGAGUGCUGCGGCUGCACGGACUGCUUGGCUUUCUGUUGUGUGGCUCUUGCCACAGGACCAGAAAGCGGCUAAGUCCCUGCUUCUGCCUCCUGGUUUUACUGGACCAGCAGCAUUCCAAUGCUUGUUGCUUCUUCAUUAAAUUUGUGUUUUCAGGCACUAAAUUAUUUGCAUAAAAUCUCUGAUUUUCUGGAGUUGCAGCUUUGAACACCUGUGCAGCUGCUGCAGAGUUCAGGGAGUGUAUUGCAAAGCUAUCUAUUCUGACUUAGGUUUCUAUAUAUUCCUCAAUUGCCUUGAAAGGGCUUGGAAGCAGCUGCUGAAAAGCCAUAGAAAACCUGAUUGAGGAAGAAAAACAGACUUGGUUGUGCAAUAAACACACAGACUCCUUCCAAUCCCACUGAUGAGAACAAAAAGCACUGCAAGGGGAGGUUGGUUGGGUACCGGUGGGACAUCGUGGAGGUCCUGUUCCCAGCAUGUCAUCGGUGAGGAAAGCUCCACGUGGCUGUAGGAAGAGGUGUCUCCCCACCCAGCCCCUCAGAGAGGAGGCAGGCUGUGUGCAAAUCUUUAACCUUGGUCUCUGAGACAACUUGGCAUUGACAGCUGACGUCUGGCUUUAUGUCAAACAGCUCACAGAGGCUCACGCUGCAGCAAUGGCCCUCAACAAUGUCACCGUGUCUGAGGUGAGCCCAGCUUAAAUCCACGGGGGUUGUUUCCCGGCUGCAUCCCAAACCUCAUUGUUUAACCUACUGCCAAGCAGACCUCGAUUCCCCCAGCACCAAUUCCUCUGGGGCUGGCAUGGGGGGCAAACCCGUGGCAAUGCCAUGUGAUGCCCAAACAGCUUCCACUCCAGAUCCUGCUGGCAUGGCAGUGAGGUGCAAAACCUUCCAGCACAGAUCCACUUCCUGCUCGAUGACAAGGCGUAGGAGUUCAGCAAUACAUUAUUCUGAUUUUCUUGUAAAGUCAUUUUUGUUUUUCAGAUCAAAUUUCAAGAACCCUUGAGAGCUUUUGUUCUGGAAGUUAUAAUAAAUGAAAUCAAUUCUAGGUCCACAGGGAUGUUUUCUUCCCUGAUGUCUUGUUAGUCAAAUCCAAAGUAUAUAAGCCAAGAGUAGUGUGUGUGUUUUUUUUUUUUUCUCUUCUUCUCCUUUCUGUUUGAUUUAUUUAUUUAUUUUGUUUGUUUGUUUGUUUUUCCCUCUGGAGCAAUUUAAGAGUCUGUUAUUUCCUGAAUCAAUUGCAUAUUCUACAUGUGUUAAUUCAUAAAAGGCAAGCUGGGUCUUAGGAAUCUUGUAUAUAAACAACCAUGAGCCUGGGUCUUAGACUACGCUGUUUAUAUGCUAAAGCAAUGUGUAUAUAUAUUGUACAAAGCUGUAGGUGUCUGGGGGACUGAGCAGUAAAAUCCAAAAGUCCUAAUGCGUGUUUCUGCAUACACCUGACUUAGGUUUGUUUAUCUCCAGAUGCAUGCACCGAAUCCAUCUGUUCCUUCACAUCACAAUAAAAUAAUUAUACUAAAAAUCAAGUAAAGGCUGCAUGUUAUCACUGGAGAAGUUUUCCUCUAUUGUAAAUGAACUUAAUCUUUUGCAAAUACAAACUAAAUUUGUAUCUGUGCUAAACCUUUCUGGUACUUCUCUUUGCCCCUCAUCCUGGUUCUGGGCAAGCCUCGAUGAGGAGGGUGGGCAGGCUGAGGGCACUGCGAUCUCUGUUUACUCAGUGUGCCCAAAGUUGGAAAAAUCGCAGUACUGAGGAUGCCAGGGCUGGCACCCCACGCAGGUGAGCCCCCUGGGAUACAGGGCAAGUCUCCCCUCCCACUGGUGCCUUCCCUUCCCUACUGGCUAUGAGUGCGCAGAGGCUUUUCUGACCACCUUGCCUUUUAGGAUACCUUUCUGGGGGAAAUUGCACAGAGCCAGCUACCCCUGAGGAGGGUCUCCUGUCCCUAAGCCGCUGCUGGUCCGUUGUGUUUGCUGCCAGCAGGAUUUGUGGGCAGGUGCCGCUGUCCUCGGACGCGUCCUGCGUGUUGCAGCCAGGCCGUGCCUCGGGGGAGCCUCUCCUGGCUCAUUUUGCCUCUGCACAGUGCGUGUGCUCCGGCGUGAGCUCUGCUGCUGGUCCGUUGACCUAGAAUUAAAUGGCACCGCACCCCUGCAGGGCUAGAAACAGCGUUCUGGAAAUGUUCAUUUCCUGAGGGCUUUAAAUCAAAUUCUGGGUAGGCAUAGCUGCCGUGAUUUAAGGCUUUCUGCCUUCCCUAGCAGCAGUUGAGGUGCAUCAGGACAAGGUGGAUCCAGCUGGUUGUGCUCCAGCACAGCCACCUGCCCAGGCUAGACCAGCACCAGCCAGGCUUGGAAGUGUUUACCUGCAUUUACGUGGGUCUUGAAAGGUUUCUUAAAUUCCGUGAAGUUAAUACAAUGGAAAAUGGAUUUUUUCUGCCCACCUAAGCAAGCCUUUAGUGAUUAAUGCUGUAAAGCAAAAACAACAGCAACAAAUUCAGUUUUACAACGUGCUGUGGAUCCCAGGUCUAUGAGGAAUGCUUGCUUUGUAAAAGAUUUUUUUCCUCCUCCCAGUGCUCUUUCAAAAAUAUUUUAUUUCCAUAAAAUCCCCUUGUCUCCGUAAGCUGCGUGUUGAUACUAAUAGGAUGCAUAGCUUCAUAAUUCUUUGUCUCUUCUUGCACUGGUGUAAGGCUAAGCCCUAUCACAGAGCAGAUAUGUUUUACUAGCAAAGACAGUUAGCAGAGGAGAGGGUUCACCCUUUGUUUGCAAAAUUAGUUGAGAAUUUUUCAUCUGUUCACCUCCUAGUCCUGCAUUGUGUGCCGUCACUACUGCACAAAAAAGAAAACCUGAUGUAUGGGAUGAGUUGCUGGCUGUUGUGUCUCUGAUACUGAACAGAAGAGAGGCCAUCAUGAAUAUAUUUUAAUUCGUGAUUAUUUAUUCUAAAUCUUUGAUUAUUUUAGUGGGGGUGGGGGGAGAUCCUGCAUCUGCAUAUGAGUUACAGAUCAAUAUAGAGGAUCUAAAUAUGGAAGAUGUGUUUAAAAAAAUGCAUUCUUCUUAGUGCUGCUUUUCCAAAUUGGUGUCAUCUGUGGUUAUGUGCUUUGGGAAAGUCUGGAACAUUAAUUAUUGCUCUUGCUUUCUGUUGGCUGCUGGGAAUAGAUGCCUACGCUUUGCCAGCACUUUCCUUGUGGUCUUUUUUCCCAGUAGCAGGUUCACAGCUGCAACACCUCCCCGUCCAUCUUGCUGGGUGGGAAGGAAGAAUCCCAGCCUGGCCUGCUCUGCACUGACCCCGUGGCUCUCUGGCUCGUGGUCUGUGCUCAGCACAGGUCCUGGCUGGCAUGCCCAACCCAGCAUGAUGCGAGUCAGCCUUUGGGAUCUCAUCCCUUGUCCCCGGGGCUAAAUGCACGACUAAAGGUUUUCUUUGAAUGAGAGAUUUCAGAGGCUCUGCUCAGCAAAGCAUGCUGCUACUCGGAAAUAAAGGUACAUUGUGAGUCAGGAUAUUCUUCCUGCCCGUGAAGCUAUCCAGAAACUGCAGAUACGGAUUAUAUGACUUGAAUGCUAUGCUAUUUAUGAUGUGUGUUCAGUCACCUAAAUCACAUUGGCACUGUUUGAGCUUUGCCUGGAUAAUUGAUUCAAAUGUAAAUUGAAUGAAUAAAUCCUUUACAGCUAAAA